RNAcentral lists this ribosomal RNA (253 nucleotides) under uncultured bacterium. Its description in RNAcentral is "partial 16S ribosomal RNA". It matches the Rfam family "Bacterial small subunit ribosomal RNA", at positions 524 to 776 of the family's 1533-position model. The record is from RNAcentral.
UACGAAGGGUGCAAGCGUUAAUCGGAAUUACUGGGCGUAAAGGGUGCGUAGGCGGUUGUUUAAGUCUGUCGUGAAAUCCCCGGGCUCAACCUGGGAAUGGCGAUGGAUACUGGACAGCUAGAGUGUGUCAGAGGAUGGUGGAAUUUCCGGUGUAGCGGUGAAAUGCGUAGAGAUCGGAAGGAACAUCAGUGGCGAAGGCGGCCAUCUGGGACAACACUGACGCUGAAGCACGAAAGCGUGGGGAGCAAACAGG